This is a non-coding RNA of Drosophila takahashii, 152 nucleotides long. Lineage: Eukaryota; Metazoa; Arthropoda; Insecta; Diptera; Drosophilidae. The record is from RefSeq and is a predicted model, not a curated record.
CUCCAACUCGAGAGGCCGUGGGUUCGAACCCUCGUAGAGACCCCAAAUGUUUUUCUCAAUUAUAACCGGCAGUUAUACAAGUCUGCUGCCUCCUGCCCCCAAUGGCAUCAUCCGAUAUAGCAACAAUUCAACAAAUAAAUUAUCUGAAACGA